Long non-coding RNA from Vicia villosa (hairy vetch), 234 nucleotides. RefSeq lists it as uncharacterized. The record is from RefSeq and is a predicted model, not a curated record. The transcript has 3 exons. Lineage: Eukaryota; Viridiplantae; Streptophyta; Magnoliopsida; Fabales; Fabaceae.
GAUGUGCCUCUUGGAGAUUACAUCGGAGUUCAAUAGUCCAAGAAUGCUACAUAUGUGCCUCACACUGCAGCUUUUGGAGUGGUUUUAUUUGAACUCAUUACUGGAAGAAAACCAAUUUAAACCAAAAGAUUUCCAUGAGAAGAGAAUUUAGUAUUACGGCCAUAUUAUCUGAAGAGUGGCAACACAACUAUAAGGCAGACUGGAGGUUCCCUUGCUUCCUCAACAAAAUCAUUG